Molecule: ribosomal RNA, 440 nt
Filed under: uncultured bacterium
Lineage: Bacteria
Description: bacterial SSU rRNA
Rfam family: Bacterial small subunit ribosomal RNA
Source: RNAcentral
CGAAUGGGAGACAACCUGACGAAAGUUUGGCUAAUACCCCAUACAAUCCUCUCGGAGCAUUCCGGGGGGAUGAAAGGCCCGCAAGGGUCGUUCGAGGAGAAGUUUGCGGCCUAUCAGCUAGUUGGCGGUGUAACGGACCACCAAGGCUAUGACGGGUAGCCGAUCUAAAAGGAUGACCGGCCACAAGGGCACUGAGACACGGGCCCUACUCCUACGGGAGGCAGCAGUGGGGAAUUUUGGAUAAUGGACGAAAGUCUGAUCCAGCGACGCCGCGUGAAGGACGAAGGUUUUCGGAUCGUAAACUUCUUUUGCAGGGGACGAAUACGCGCAAGCGUUUGACGGUACUCUGCGAAUAAGCCACGGCUAACUACGUGCCAGCAGCCGCGGUAAUACGUAGGUGGCGAGCGUUACUCGGAAUUACUAGGCGUAAAGCGCGUGUA